RNAcentral lists this transfer RNA (77 nucleotides) under Amphritea sp. 1_MG-2023. Its description in RNAcentral is "tRNA-Ile". It matches the Rfam family "tRNA". Rfam says of the family: Transfer RNA (tRNA) molecules are approximately 80 nucleotides in length. The record is from RNAcentral. Lineage: Bacteria; Pseudomonadati; Pseudomonadota; Gammaproteobacteria; Oceanospirillales; Oceanospirillaceae.
GCCUCUUUAGCUCAGUUGGUUAGAGCACCCGACUCAUAAUCGGUAGGUCGAUGGUUCAAGUCCAUCAAGAGGCACCA